This 222-nucleotide unclassified non-coding RNA is filed under the name uncultured fungus. RNAcentral describes it as "sequence contains ITS1, 5.8S rRNA gene". The stretch from base 174 to 222 matches the Rfam family "5.8S ribosomal RNA", at positions 1 to 49 of the family's 154-position model. The record is from RNAcentral. Lineage: Eukaryota; Fungi.
UCUCCGUAGGUGAACCUGCGGAGGGAUCAUUACUGAGUUAUCUAACUCCCAAACCAUUGUGAACUUACCACUGUUGCCUCGGCGGCAGGGCUCUGUAACAGGAGCUGGCCGCCGGUGGACUACUAAACUCUUGUUAAUAUUUGUCAUUCUGAAUAACAAACUUAAUAAGUUAAAACUUUCAACAACGGAUCUCUUGGUUCUGGCAUCGAUGAAGAACGCAGC